This 448-nucleotide ribosomal RNA is filed under the name uncultured bacterium. RNAcentral describes it as "SSU rRNA". It matches the Rfam family "Bacterial small subunit ribosomal RNA", at positions 26 to 518 of the family's 1533-position model. The record is from RNAcentral.
AGAGCGAACGCUGGCGGCAGGCUUAACACAUGCAAGUCGAGCGGGCGUAGCAAUACGUCAGCGGCAGACGGGUGAGUAACGCGUGGGAACGUACCUUUUGGUUCGGAACAACACAGGGAAACUUGUGCUAAUACCGGAUAAGCCCUUACGGGGAAAGAUUUAUCGCCGAAAGAUCGGCCCGCGUCCUGAUUAGCUAGUUGGUGAGGUAACGGCUCACCAAGGCGACGAUCAGUAGCUGGUCUGAGAGGAUGAUCAGCCACAUUGGGACUGAGACACGGCCCAAACUCCUACGGGAGGCAGCAGUGGGAAUAUUGGACAAUGGGCGCAAGCCUGAUCCAGCCAUGCCGCGUGAGUGAUGAAGGCCCUAGGGUUGUAAAGCUCUUUUGUGCGGGAAGAUAAUGACGGUACCGCAAGAAUAAGCCCCGGCUAACUUCGCGCCAGCAGCCGC